AACGAACGCUGGCGGCAUGCCUAACACAUGCAAGUCGAACGAGACCUUCGGGUCUAGUGGCGCACGGGUGCGUAACGCGUGGGAACCUGCCCUUAGGUUCGGAAUAACUCCCCGAAAGGGGUGCUAAUACCGGUUAAUCUCUUCGGACCAAAGAUUUAUCGCCUUUGGAUGGGCCCGCGUUGGAUUAGCUAGUUGGUAGGGUAAAAGCCUACCAAGGCGACGAUCCAUAGCUGGUCUGAGAGGAUGAUCAGCCACACUGGGACUGAGACACGGCCCAGACUCCUACGGGGGGGAGCAGUGGGGAAUAUUGGACGAUGAGCGAAAGCCUGAUCCAGCAAUGCCGCGUGAGUGAUGAAGGCCUUAGGGUUGUAAAGCUCUUUUACCCGGGAUGAUAAUGACAGUACCGGGAGAAUAAGCUCCGGCUAACUCCGUG
Molecule: ribosomal RNA, 433 nt
Filed under: uncultured bacterium
Lineage: Bacteria
Description: partial 16S ribosomal RNA
Rfam family: Bacterial small subunit ribosomal RNA
Source: RNAcentral